GAUGAAGAACGUAGCGAAAUUCGAUACGUAGUGUGAAUUGCAGAAUUCAGUGAAUCAUCGAAUCUUUGAACGCACAUUGCACCUCUCGGUAUUCCGGGAGGUAUGCCUGUUCGAGCGUCAUUUGUACCCUCAAGCUCUGCUUGGUGUUGGGUGUUUGUUCCGCCUCUGUGUGUGAACUCGCCUCAAAACAAUUGGCAGCCGGCGUACUUGUUUCGGAGCGCAGCACAUUUUGCGAUCCAGAUCAACGUACAGCGGCAUCCAAGAAGCCUUAUUUAACGCUCUUGACCUCGGAUCAGGUAGGGAUACCCGCUGAACUUAAGCAUAUCAAUAAGCGGAGGA
RNAcentral lists this unclassified non-coding RNA (339 nucleotides) under soil metagenome. RNAcentral's name for it is "partial contains 5.8S ribosomal RNA, internal transcribed spacer 2, and large subunit ribosomal RNA". The stretch from base 1 to 120 matches the Rfam family "5.8S ribosomal RNA", at positions 35 to 154 of the family's 154-position model. The record is from RNAcentral.